Molecule: long non-coding RNA, 2288 nt
Organism: Papaver somniferum (opium poppy)
Lineage: Eukaryota; Viridiplantae; Streptophyta; Magnoliopsida; Ranunculales; Papaveraceae
Exons: 2
Source: RefSeq, a predicted model, not a curated record
UCUUCUUCAUUCCUUCUCUCUUUCCCCUGUUCUUCACGGUUGCUGAUUCUGAGAGAAGUGUGAGAAUCGGUUUGAGAAGGUUAAUUAGUGAAGAUGUUCUGAUAUUAUAGGAGUUGGUGGUGUUGUUAAUCAUCAAAUAGAACGAUUAGGGAUUGUGCUUCGUGAUGAACAGAGAGAAGCAGUCAGGGUUUUGAUUUUGAUUUCUGAAGUGAGUGAAAUCGAUAAGAAAAUCGGCUAUUAAUGGAUGAAGAAACAAAAUGGUAUUGAUUAAUAGUAGCUGUGGAUAUUUUAGAUGAAGAAUCAAAUAAUUUAAGGUCUUGGUUUUAGGGUUCAAUUCUGGAAAUUGAUUGAGGGUUUAAAAGUCGAAUUAAAGGAUGGGUUUCGAAGAACUUGUGGUGAAGAAGAAGAUUAUGGAUUUGAUUUGUAGAUUCAGUUGUUGAGAAGGACCUUAAUUGCAGAAUUGAAGAAUUAGGGUUACUGCAUCAAUUGAAUGGUAAUUUAACAAUCCAGAGAAGACGAGUGUUGGCAGAGGGAAUGAUAUUAUGGUAUAAUGAUGUUUGAGUUAUGAAGAAUAGCUUGGAAUUGAUAGUUAGGGUUCGUUUCCAUUUUAGUGAACAUUUGGGAAUUGCAUUAAGGUUUGGUCAAGAACAGAUGGUGAUGAAGAUCAAUGGGUUAAUGAAGUGAAUUCAAUUGCUGAGUUGGUGAUGGUCUUGGGGAGAAUAACUGAAUCAAGUAAAGAAGAAUUGGUUUCAUGGCUUUUGAGAAAGUACAAGUGAACUCGAUCGUCGGAGAAAUAACUAGCUAAAGUGGGAGUAACAGCGGCGUUUGGGAGAAAAGGCAUCAAUGCUGGAAUUCAUUGUUCCAAGAAGACACGGAGCUUAAUGGGCUGCCUAGUCAACCGCUUAAGCCAGUGCACCACACAUACAUAACACGGCCAGAGAAGUAUUGAAUGAGUCAAAGAGAAGUAUUGAAUGAGUCAAAGAGUCGUGUAUUUCGUUGGGAGUUUCAACUCCACCUGUCAAGCCCAUCACACUUAUAUAUCUUAUGUCUUAAAAGAGAUUAUGGAGCACUCUCUUCAGAACUCCGAGCUGGUGAAACAAGUGAUGGAGUAUGUAUAUUCUCCUACUCAAAAUCAAGGUAUGAGUCUUAUAAUGGCUGAAAUGCGGUCCGCUGCUGGUGUUGGCUCGAAUGUGAAGUAUAGGGAAGAACUUGUGAUCAAACUGCCUCGGUUUAGGAUUGUGCGUUGGAGUUGGUUUUGCUGGUGAACGGAAAGAUUGGCAACGGAGAUGGAGACUUACUGGCAGGCGUUGAAGAAUGUAAAGAUAUGAGAAGAGAAGGAGUCUUAUCUACUGUAAGCUGCAUGAUAGAGUCUCGGGCCAUCUGAUGAGAUGAAGAAAGGUUAGCUGUUGGCCUCAUUUGAUGUUCUGCGAAGGAAAGGAAGAAGUUGGCAGCAAAAACGGAAUUGGGGUUCGUUAAUAAGGACCUGAGAUUGGGGUUUGUUGUCUUGGCAGCGAGAUAAAGAAGUGCAGCAAUGGAGAAGGUUAUGUGUAUCUGGCAGACGUUUGGAGCUGUGAAGUCGAGCAUUAGAGAUGGUUUUCGUACAUAGAACUGCAGUUGAAAUGGAAGAACUAGGUGAUCAACUGCCAAGGUGUUAAGUGGAGAUGCUGAUGAUAUGGAUGCUGUGAGUUUUCGAAUGGGGUCUUGAGUAUAACCCAUUUGUAGAACUGGUGCUGAGAAGAGAGUAAGCAAUCUGUGUCCGGUAUGACGAUGCUGUGAUUGUUGGCGUUGCUAUUCUAAACCAGUGGGGUGACGACAUUCUUGGAGCUGAGUAUUGAAGAUGUUUGAUCGAACGGAUUAUCGCUGGUGUUGUUUUCCUAUACAACAAGUUGGGACGAGCUUUAGAAGACUCAAGGAUUAGAAAUUGCAAUCGCUGGUGGAUGGAAGAACAGAGAUUUGGAAUGGAGUUUGCUGGAGUAUGGAAAGGAGUUGGAUUUGGACGUUAGGGUCAGUUGUUGGACUGGGCCUUGCCAGAUUUGCUAGGUCUCAGUUUUAGACUCUCGCAGCAGAUUAUAUGAGGGGAAAAGAUAACCAGAGAAAGGGACGCUGCGGCUACUGAGCCGUAUAGAAGAAUAGGGCUUGAAGGGUUUUGAAGUUCCAUUCUCUUUAAUUCGGUUUUAGCUAGUUUGAUUUGAAUAUGUUUAUGGCUAGAACCAUGUUAGGGUUUAGAUGGAAACCAAUUUAAUUAUAUACUCUACAAUGAUAUCUUUAAUAAUGAUUUGAUUGAUUAA